RNAcentral lists this ribosomal RNA (481 nucleotides) under Terrahaemophilus aromaticivorans. RNAcentral's name for it is "bacterial SSU rRNA". It matches the Rfam family "Bacterial small subunit ribosomal RNA", at positions 30 to 499 of the family's 1533-position model. Lineage: Bacteria; Pseudomonadati; Pseudomonadota; Gammaproteobacteria; Pasteurellales; Pasteurellaceae. The record is from RNAcentral.
AUUGAACGCUGGCGGCAGGCUUAACACAUGCAAGUCGAACGGUAACAUAAAGAAGCUUGCUUCUUUGAUGACGAGUGCGGACGGGUGAGUAAUGCUUGGGAAUCUGGCUUAUGGAGGGGGAUAACUACGGGAAACUGUAGCUAAUACCGCGUAGAAUCGGGAGAUGAAAGUGUGGGACCUUCGGGCCACAUGCCAUAGGAUGAGCCCAAGUGGGAUUAGGUAGUUGGUGAGGUAAAGGCUCACCAAGCCGACGAUCUCUAGCUGGUCUGAGAGGAUGACCAGCCACACUGGGACUGAGACACGGCCCAGACUCCUACGGGAGGCAGCAGUGGGGAAUAUUGCGCAAUGGGGGCAACCCUGACGCAGCCAUGCCGCGUGAAUGAAGAAGGCCUUCGGGUUGUAAAGUUCUUUCGGUAGCGAGGAAGGCAUUUAGUUUAAUAAACUGGAUGAUUGACGUUAACUACAGAAGAAGCACCGGCUG